GAUGAACGCUGGCGGCGUGCCUAAUACAUGCAAGUCGAGCGAACGGACGAGAAGCUUGCUUCUCUGAUGUUAGCGGCGGACGGGUGAGUAACACGUGGAUAACCUACCUAUAAGACUGGGAUAACUUCGGGAAACCGGAGCUAAUACAGGAUAAUAUUUUGAACCGCAUGGUUCAAAAGUGAAAGACGGUCUUGCUGUCACUUAUAGAUGGAUCCGCGCUGCAUUAGCUAGUUGGUAAGGUAACGGCUUACCAAGGCAACGAUGCAUAGCCGACCUGAGAGGGUGAUCGGCCACACUGGAACUGAGACACGGUCCAGACUCCUACGGGAGGCAGCAGUAGGGAAUAUUCCGCAAUGGGCGAAAGCCUGACGGAGCAACGCCGCGUGAGUGAUGAAGGUCUUCGGAUCGUAAAACUCUGUUAUUAGGGAAGAACAUAUGUGUAAUUAACUGUUCACAUCUUGACGUUACCUAAUCAGAAAGCCACGGCUAACUACGUG
This 497-nucleotide ribosomal RNA is filed under the name uncultured bacterium. RNAcentral describes it as "partial 16S ribosomal RNA". It matches the Rfam family "Bacterial small subunit ribosomal RNA", at positions 28 to 507 of the family's 1533-position model. The record is from RNAcentral.